AGCUGCCAUAGCUUAUGGCUAGAGCAAUGGGAGGGGGGCCCGACAGACUUGAGGUGGGCUUGGAAGCGGCCAUCCUUUGAAGAAAGCGUAAUAGCUCACUGGUCUAGCUCCUAUGAUGGCACCGAAAAUGUAUCAGGGCUCAAGUGAUUCACCGAA
This is a non-coding RNA of Lupinus albus (white lupine), 156 nucleotides long. The record is from the annotation of a GenBank genome assembly. Lineage: Eukaryota; Viridiplantae; Streptophyta; Magnoliopsida; Fabales; Fabaceae.